Molecule: long non-coding RNA, 5017 nt
Filed under: Eucalyptus grandis
Lineage: Eukaryota; Viridiplantae; Streptophyta; Magnoliopsida; Myrtales; Myrtaceae
Description: long non-coding RNA (EGRA_LNC000335)
Source: RNAcentral
UCCCACCCUAAGCCCGUGGUACUUGACGGCUCUCCAGAAACUUUGCCCUCCAAACUUCAGUAGUAGCGUCCUUGCCGACCUCGACCCGACGACCCCGAACUUGUUUGACAACCACUACUACUCCAACCUCCAGAAAAAUGACGGGCUUUUUCAGUCUGAUCAAGAGCUGUACUCGACAGCCGGUGCUGCGACAGUACCCAUCGUCAACAGCUUCAGUGCCGACCAGAGUGCCUUCUUCAAGAGCUUCACUCGGUCGAUAGUAAACAUGGGAAACAUCAGUCCUCUCACCGGAAGUAACGGGGAGAUCAGGUGCAAUUGUAGGAAGGUCAAUGAGAGUUGAGAGUGUUUUCUGGGGGGUUUUGGCCGAGUGCGUGUACGUGAAUAAAUAGCAGCGUGUGAAAUAAAAUUCAGGCAUUCUUGGAAAUGUCAAUUCUAUUGGGCAGAGAGCCGGAGAUUUGUAUUUCUACGUCGAGUGUGUAGUUUUAAGAGUUGAUCUGACUGAAGUAUUAUACAAGAUUGUUCAUCUCUGUUAAGAGAUCACAGAAAAUAAAUGAGAACUUUCUUAUAUUGAUCAUCCCUGAAGAGUUUGUUAGAAAUUCUAUAAACGUCGGCUAACAUGAAUCAUGUAGUAUUUUAGUUUGAAAAAACAUGUGGUUAUAUAAUAAAUAAAGGACAUGAGAUAAUACUCUAUAGCUUGAAUACAAUUUCGCUAAUCAAUUUAUAUUGGACUUAAGCACAUCUUGGUACGGUAAUAAAUUGGUGUUCGAAGGUCAGUGUAGGCUAGUAUUUUAAGGAUGAUUUGCGAUGAUAUUCUUCAAAGGCUAUAUGAAGAAGGAGAAUGAGCAAAAAACAUGUCCUCUUCCGUAUUGGUCAUGUAUACUUGACAUUUUCCAUACAUUUAUGUUGAUUGAUUAAGUGCUUAAUUUGAAUGUAACAGAACUUGUAUACAAAUAUUAGCAUUGUAUGCAGACUAUGCACACCACAUUAUGGGUGGAGUUUUACUUAAGACACGUAUCUAUUGGGAUUAAUUGAUUUGUAAAAUUCGGAUAAUCAAUAUGUUGAAACAUGUUCUGUAACUCAUAAUGCCCGUGUCCGGUUUGUGUUUCAAAGAUGCGAUACGAUUAACAAGAAUGUCAUGAUCUAAGUUUUACAGGAUUUAUUUAUGAAAUUAAACGAGCAUGAUGCAAAAACACGAAUUGACGGCUUAAUCUCUCUCUCUCGGCAGGUUUCGAAGCUUGGGGCCUGAAGCUCUGCUACAACAUUGAGCCUCGUCAUUCACAUACACAAACAACAUAUAUUGAAGAUCGUUUUGUAGGCUUCGCCAAGACGUGGGACUUUCUCUAUCUCUCGCUACACACACCUAACAGAUAUAGAAGCAUGUGUUAAGAUGCCCGUAUAAAGGCGUGUUUGUUUUGGCAUCUAUAAAGUCCUUUGGAGCCUCAAAGGUCUUUGGAUAAAUGCAUGUCCUUCGGCAAAAUUUUGGGGUGCUUCUGGGAGAUGCAAUUGCAUCUACAAAACUUUCUAAAAGCAUUUAGUCCAUGAUAGGUCCAGAGGAACUUUGGAAUGCUCAGCAACUGUCGAGCGACUAGUGUGCCACUGGCAAGCCUCUAUUGGCAGGUUUUGCCAUCAAAUACUUUGAUAUUUUCUAUAAAAAAACAGAAGCAAAAAUCCUUUACAAAGUAAAGUUUUACCAAAUGACAUUUGCAUUAAGGUCACUUUCCAAUAUGUUUUUAAAAUACACUUUAAUAAACACUAUUUGUAUUUCAAAAAACUCUUCAACUCAAAGACCUUUACAUCUUCUCAGAAAAUAUUUGCCUAAAGUUGAACCAAAUGCACCUAAAUUGUAUUAGAAAAUCGCACAUCAAAAAAUUAGUGCGAGAUGAAGAAAUAUUACUAUAUCAUAAUUGACCUAUAAUUUAUUAACUUAAUUUUUUUAGUAAAAAUAAAUUUAAUUGGACAUGUUGACGGACUCCCUUUUUGGUGAUCUCUGUCGAGUAAAGGCACCGGGCUCCUAACAGCACAUUGGGUAGGCUUCCAAGCUCCAACAAGUCUUCUCUCUCUUACAUAGAGGACAAUCGAAACAGAAUAUCUCCAUUCAAGGCAAAAAUUUGUCCAGCCCUGAUGGAAGUGCAGAACUGAAAAAUAAAAUUGCACACGUGUAACUAUUUGUACCUUGCGUGUUGCAAUUGAAUUUUUACCUAUUAUCGUCCCCGGUUCGAUUAGACAGCAAGCUUUGCAAAUACGCAUUCCUUUGGAUACUAAAUGAACAUUUCUAACAUUUUCCUUAGACCAUUAUGCUAAAGUUUUGCACAUUGCUCGCUUGUCUAUAAGUUGUUAGUAUGCCUUAUUUUCAUGUAGACUCCCUCCCAUCUAUAAGCUUUUGGAUAGGAUUUUCUGACCUAGUUUAACAGUCGAGUUCCACCCAGAUUUAUAUCAUGGGCGAGUCUUCUCGUUUGUCUACUCCACAUGCCAUUCUUAACGUAGACUUUCUAGCACAUAAUAGCAGGACCACCUACUCCCACGAUAUAUAUAUUCAGUUUGAACGGUACUCUUUCGAAGUUACGUAUAUCCUCAUCAACAUCCCCAGAACAAGAUAGAUCGUGCUCUUCUCUCCUCUGCGGGAUUAUCCGGACUUGAUUCAUCUGAUGUAGCUUGAUAAUGGAAGUUGAAUCUCUUUCAAAGGAGAUAUCAUCUAACGCACCCAAAAACUACCCGACCAUCUAUCAAAUAUCUUGACUGUUGAUUUUCGUGUGGACCCUUUCCUUCUCAAGUUCGCGUGCUUUUUGCUUCUAAUUAUAUCUGACCAAAAUUGAACACUUCAACGCUAGAGGUCGUUGGGUGGAGGAUGAGCAUUACCCUCAACCCUUGAUUAUUUCGAUCCUCACUUCUCACGAAAUCCUCGUCGGAGUCGCUCCCCAAACUUGUAAAUGCGCUCGGUCCUUGCACGUAAUCCCGCAUUUUAAUAUUCUCACAUCGAGGCGAGUGAAGCGGUCUGGUCAAUUCAUAAGGCUUUGAUCAUUAUAGCUGGCAAGAAAUUAUUUUAAUAAGUCUUACGCGCUUAUGAUGAUUUUGGAGCCGUAGGAGCUUUAACACAUACUAACUAUAAAUAGGACCAAGAACCUGCUUUAGGAUUCAAAUUACCCAACUUUUGAGAGGGAUCCGACUAGUCUAGACAACAUCACUUAACGAGUCAUGGCCGGUUCUUCUACUCCUUCCUCGCUGACGGCGGUGACCCUUCUCGCCGCAUUGUUGUUGUUCCUCAAUCCAUCGAACGCUCAGCUGACUGCCAAUUUUUAUGCGAAGACAUGCCCGAGCGUGUCCAGUAUUGUCCAAACCGUGAUCCAGGAGGCCCUUCAAUCUGACCCACGCAUCACUGCCAGCCUCCUCCGUCUCCAUUUCCACGAUUGUUUCGUCGACGUGAGUCCCUAAGCUAGAUCAAUUCCCAUUAACAAUGGUGCUCUCAAUCUGAUUACCAAGUAGCUAGUCACGCAACCUAAUGUUUAAGCCUGACAUGUGUGUUAAAAGGGGUGUGAUGGAUCGCUGCUGCUGGACAAUAGCCCAACCAUAAAGAGCGAGAAAGAUGCAGCUCCGAAUUUUAAGUCCGCAAGAGGGUUUGAUGUCGUGGACAAGAUCAAAGCGGCUAUUGAGAGUGCUUGUCCAGGGACCGUGUCUUGCGCCGACAUUCUUGCCCUUGCUGCUCAAGCUUCCGUCUCUUUGGUAUAUGUAGUUAUAGUCAAAGAAACAUAAACAUAAAUCUAAAGUAUAUUCAGGGUUCAUUAUUAUAACUCACCCUACUCAAAUCAUUAUUGUAUUUCUCUUGAUUAUCGCUCUUACCAAAUUGCAGUCAGAAGGUCCAUAUUGGACAGUGCUCUUGGGGAGGAGGGACAGCUUGACCGCGAACCAAGCCGGAGCGAACACAUCGAUACCCUCCCCUUCUGAUAGCUAUAACAACCUCGUUUCCAAAUUCUCUGCUGUUGGCUUGGACAUCACCGACCUUGCUACACUUUCCGGUAAAAAAGAACAGUUGGACUUGCAUUUUAAUACGAAACGUGCAACCGUAGAUAUUGAUGCACAAAAAAGAUUUAUAGAGUGAGAUGCUGGAUUUUUGUCACAUAAUUUAUCGGCACAAACAUCUCUUCACUUUUGUUUAACACAUUCUAACUUCCUAAUAUGAUCAUAGUCUAAGAUUAAUUGUAAUCUAUUGACAUGCCUGUCUGGUAUAUGGCCUAUGCAUGCCUCGUGCAUAGGCCAUGCACAUCUCCCAGAAGGAAUUUUGGCUAAGGAUUAUUAAUCUAUAAUUGAAUAAGUAAUUUUCCCUUGACUUGAGAUCGAUCCACAUGCAUGUGUUAUGCCUAGGCCAUGCUUGUAUCGUGCAUGGGCUGUGCACAUCUACUAGAACGAAUUUUGGCUAAGGAUUAAGGAUUUCUUUUUCAUCACAGGAGUAUGAAUAUCGGGAAAGAUGGUAUCAAAAUUUGCAAGCCCCUCAUGUACUUAUCUAAGAAAUGAUAAGUUUACAGAAUCAAUAUAUUAAGUGAUGUCGCGGAUCAUUAUUACUUAUUCAUCUAUCCACUAAUGAGUUUGCUGCAUAUGUUUGGCAUACAAAUUCCGUUGAGCAUUCCUAGCAUUGAUCUAUUCAUCCAUCUCCAUAAUUAAGCAUCUGCAGAUAUUUUGUUCUCUUAGCUAACUUUUCGUGCAUACGACAAUAAAACAGGAGCUCACACCUUCGGACGUGCACAGUGCAAGUCAUUCAACCCUAGGCUCUACAACUUCACCGCGAACGGUGGCCCUGAUCCCACCAUAAACCCGUGGUACUUGACCAAUCUCCGGAAACUUUGCCCUCAGAAUGGCGACAGUAGUGUCCUCGCCGACCUCGACCCGACAACCCCAAACUUGUUUGACAACCACUACUACUCCAACCUCCAGAAAAAUGAAGGGCUUCUUCUGUCCGAUCAAGAGCUGUACUCCACAACUGGCGCCGCAACAAUUUCCAUCGUCAACAGCUUUAGCUUUGACCAGA